CGGGGCUGGGGGCGGGGCUGGCGGGCCGUUCGAACGGCGCUGCCGCUGCUGGUGGCGCUCGGGCCGGGCUGCGGGCGUGUGCCCCCGGGCAGCCCAACACAACACAGCCCGGCCCGGCCCGGCCUGGCCUGGCCUCCCUCCUCUCCAGAGUGCCCGAGGGGCUGGCAAGGCUUCCUUCCCGGGGGAACAGGCCGCGCUGCUGCCGCCGGCUCCUCCGCCGCCGCUCCGCGACAGACAAUGGACGAGCAGGGUCCUGGGGAAACGUGGCCCCGCCACACUACGAAGCAGAUGAGCAUUUGGACCUGAGACAUCCACAUUCAGGGAGUGAACUCUUCCUGGCUGCAGGAACAAGAAUGUAUGAUUCUGUGCGCAGUGAGGUGAGCAAUUAAUGCUGCAUCGAUGUGUUCAUUAACAUUAGUUUAUUAACCAAGUGUAAGGACCCUGUACUCUCACUAACAGCUUCAGCUUGGCUUUUAGAAUAUUUGCAGUGCUAAUCCUAAACAGCAGAGGAUCAGAUAAUGCUGUGGUAUAAAAAUAACUCAAUAUAAGUUUCUGCAAUAGAAUAAUGUACAUUAAAUAUAUACAAUAUAGAAAGCAAUAAGAUGCCUUCCAUAUAAUAUUAUUUAUGCAAGUAUAUAGAAUUACCCGUUUGUAGUUUUGAAUGUGUAGGUAGAUUGAGGAGUUUAGGAACAAAGACAAUUUAAUGUUGUCAUAAAAAGGAAAAAUAAAACCCCUUUUUUCUGAGCA
Molecule: long non-coding RNA, 747 nt
Filed under: Junco hyemalis (dark-eyed junco)
Lineage: Eukaryota; Metazoa; Chordata; Aves; Passeriformes; Passerellidae
Description: lncRNA (ENSJHYG00000010826.1)
Source: RNAcentral